GGGAAAGCACAGCACAAACAAGUACCUCGGGGGGUGAAGAAAUGGAGAGGGUCUUAAGUUUAAUGACAAUAACAGAGACGGAAUCGGCGAUGAACACGGGGAGCACAACGAGCAUUCCAGAAUCGGCGAUGAACACGGGGAGCACAACGGAUGAGGGUGUAAAGAAGAAAAGUUGGCUGGAUGAAAUGGACUUGGAGGAGAUAUCGGACUCGGAUGAUGGGGAAAAAUUUGAAAGAAUGAGAGGAGGAUACAGGAAGAGGAAAGCAGCGGAGGGGGGGGAGAGAAAGGGUGGAAGAGGAAAGAAACUGGAUAAAAGCCAUGCUAGAUACGCUGUAAGACAAAGAAGGAAUUUAGGACAUUAUGAA
Molecule: long non-coding RNA, 365 nt
Filed under: Salmo salar (Atlantic salmon)
Lineage: Eukaryota; Metazoa; Chordata; Actinopteri; Salmoniformes; Salmonidae
Description: lncRNA (ENSSSAG00000101534.1)
Source: RNAcentral